This 520-nucleotide ribosomal RNA is filed under the name uncultured bacterium. RNAcentral describes it as "bacterial SSU rRNA". It matches the Rfam family "Bacterial small subunit ribosomal RNA", at positions 777 to 1297 of the family's 1533-position model. The record is from RNAcentral.
AAUAGAUACCCUGGUAGUCCACGCCGUAAACGAUGUCGACUUGGAGGUUGUCCCCUUGAGGAGUGGCUUCCGGAGCUAACGCGUUAAGUCGACCGCCUGGGGAGUACGGCCGCAAGGUUAAAACUCAAAUGAAUUGACGGGGGCCCGCACAAGCGGUGGAGCAUGUGGUUUAAUUCGAUGCAACGCGAAGAACCUUACCUACUCUUGGCAUCCAGAGAACUUAGCAGAGAUGCUUUGGUGCCUUCGGGAACUCUGAGACAGGUGCUGCAUGGCUGUCGUCAGCUCGUGUUGUGAAAUGUUGGGUUAAGUCCCGCAACGAGCGCAACCCUUAUCCUUUGUUGCCAGCGGUUAGGCCGGGAACUCAAAGGAGACUGCCAGUGAUAAACUGGAGGAAGGUGGGGAUGACGUCAAGUCAUCAUGGCCCUUACGAGUAGGGCUACACACGUGCUACAAUGGCGCAUACAAAGAGAAGCGACCUCGCGAGAGCAAGCGGACCUCAUAAAGUGCGUCGUAGUCCGGA